AAUGGGCGCAAGCCUGAUCCAGCCAUGCCGCGUGAGUGAAGAAGGCCUUAGGGUUGUAAAACUCUUUCGCCGGUGAAGAUAAUGACGGUAACCGGAGAAGAAGCCCCGGCUAACUUCGUGCCAGCAGCCGCGGUAAUACGAAGGGGGCUAGCGUUGUUCGGAAUUACUGGGCGUAAAGCGCACGUAGGCGGGUUUGUAAGUAGGGGGUGAAAUCCCAGGGCUCAACCCUGGAACUGCCUUCUAGACUGCAAGCCUGGAGGUCAGGAGAGGCGAGUGGAAUACCGAGUGUAGAGGUGAAAUUCGUAGAUAUUCGGUGGAACACCAGUGGCGAAGGCGACUCGCUGGACUGAUACUGACGCUGAGGUGCGGAAGCGUGGGGAGCAAA
RNAcentral lists this ribosomal RNA (385 nucleotides) under uncultured bacterium. Its description in RNAcentral is "bacterial SSU rRNA". It matches the Rfam family "Bacterial small subunit ribosomal RNA", at positions 370 to 772 of the family's 1533-position model. The record is from RNAcentral.